RNAcentral lists this ribosomal RNA (484 nucleotides) under uncultured bacterium. Its description in RNAcentral is "partial 16S ribosomal RNA". It matches the Rfam family "Bacterial small subunit ribosomal RNA", at positions 30 to 507 of the family's 1533-position model. The record is from RNAcentral.
AUUGAACGCUGGCGGCAGGCCUAACACAUGCAAGUCGAGCGGAUGAAGGGAGCUUGCUCCUGGCUUCAGCGGCGGACGGGUGAGUAAUGCCUAGGAAUCUGCCUGGCAGUGGGGGAUAACGUCCGGUAACGGGCGCUAAUACCGCAUACGUCCUGAGGGUGAACGUGGGGGUUCUAAGGUCAAAGCCGUUCUUGCUGACCCUAGGAGGGAUUAGCUAGUUGGUGGGGUAAGGGCCUACCAAGGCGACGAUCCGUAACUGGUCUGAGAGGAUGACCAGUCACACUGGAGCUGAGACACGGUCCAGACUCCUACGGGAGGCAGCAGUAGGGAAUAUUGGACAAUGGGCGAAAGCCUGAUCCAGCCAUGCCGCGUGUGUGAAGAAGGUCUUCGGAUUGUAAAACACUUUAAGUUGGGAGGAAGGGCAGUAAGUGAAUACCUUGCUGUUUUGACGUUACCAACAGAAUAAGCACCGGCUAACUUCGUG